Molecule: ribosomal RNA, 325 nt
Filed under: uncultured bacterium
Lineage: Bacteria
Description: bacterial SSU rRNA
Rfam family: Bacterial small subunit ribosomal RNA
Source: RNAcentral
GACGAACGCUGGCGGCGUGCUUAACACAUGCAAGUCGAACGAAGCACUGUUGAUUGAAUCUUCGGAGGAAAGAGACAGUGACUGAGUGGCGGACGGGUGAGUAACGCGUGGGUAACCUGCCUCAUACAGGGGGAUAACAGUUAGAAAUGACUGCUAAUACCGCAUAAGCGCACAGUACCGCAUGGUACGGUGUAGAAAAACUCCGGUGGUAUGAGAUGGACCCGCGUCUGAUUAGCUAGUUGGUGAGGUAACGGCUCACCAAGGCGACGAUCAGUAGCCGGUCUGAGAGGAUGAACGGCCACAUUGGGACUGAGAUACGGCCCAG